UUAAGCUCUUUCACAAAUUGCAGUGCUGUGGAUGUCUGGUUCAAAGCAUGAAGGCAAUAUGAAUCACCUUACCGUACUUUGAUGUAUUCUGGGAAUGAAUGUAUCUUGUAAGAGUUCUAUUGAUUUCUGUUCAAUAAUUGACUAGAAACGAGAUUGUCACGAAUGUUACUGAAUCUAUUUGGAUGCUGAAAACUUUCAACUUCGUUGUGAUUUCUAAAUUCUAGUUGGAGAAUAACAGAAAGGUUUAUUAUGACUUGCAUCUGAA
Ipomoea triloba (trilobed morning glory) is the source of this 265-nucleotide long non-coding RNA. RefSeq lists it as uncharacterized. The record is from RefSeq and is a predicted model, not a curated record. Lineage: Eukaryota; Viridiplantae; Streptophyta; Magnoliopsida; Solanales; Convolvulaceae. The transcript is spliced from 2 exons.